AACGGCCAUUGAUACUGCAGGACUUGAAUUACUGGGAAGUAACUAGAAUAUGUAGUGUAGCGGUGAAAUGCUUAGAGAUUACAUGGAAUACCAAUUGCGAAGGCAGGUUACUACCGGUGGAUUGACGCUGAUGGACGAAAGCGUGGGUAGCGAACAGGAUUAGAUACCCUGGUAGUCCACGCCGUAAACGAUGGAUACUAGCUGUUGGGGGCAACUUCAGUGGCUAAGCGAAAGUGAUAAGUAUCCCACCUGGGGAGUACGUUCGCAAGAAUGAAACUCAAA
This 282-nucleotide ribosomal RNA is filed under the name Flavobacterium xinjiangense. Its description in RNAcentral is "partial 16S ribosomal RNA". It matches the Rfam family "Bacterial small subunit ribosomal RNA", at positions 619 to 905 of the family's 1533-position model. The record is from RNAcentral. Lineage: Bacteria; Pseudomonadati; Bacteroidota; Flavobacteriia; Flavobacteriales; Flavobacteriaceae.